Molecule: unclassified non-coding RNA, 162 nt
Filed under: uncultured Acremonium
Lineage: Eukaryota; Fungi; Ascomycota
Description: sequence contains ITS1
Source: RNAcentral
CUGAGUGUAAAAACUCCCAAACCCUAUGUGAACCUACCACAGUUGCUUCGGCGGCCUAAAUCGCCCCGGGCGCCCCAGCGCGCCCCGGACCCAGGCGACCGCCGGAGGCACCAAACUCUGAAUCUACAGUGGAUCUUCUGAGUGGCAUAAGCAAAUAAAUCA